CAGCCAUUUUGCUGUUUAUUCAUCAUCUUAAAAUAUAAUCAAAGAAGAAUAUUUACUCUAAGAAAUAAGAAGAAACUAUGUUUUAUUGCUACAAUUUAUUAAUGGAUGUCUGGACUGUUUUUUGGAUUGCAAAAGGAAAGGUUAUUUUGAAAGCGUGUCUUGUCAGAUGUUGCCAGGGGGGGGAAAGGUGAAAUGAGUGCUUAAGUUGUGAAAGAGGAAGUCAGGCUUAUAUGUGUUAACUCUUAUCAUAGACAAGCGAUAUUUUAGCGAAGUAAGACGCAUGACUGUGGUCAAGUCAUCUGUUAGAAAGAUCAUGGGAUGCUUAAACUUUUGAACCUUAAAUUUGUCAGUUAUGCUAGAAUUUAGCCAAUAGGAAAUAAGACCAUAUUUGGAGUUCUGAUUCAAGCUAAACGAAAGGCCAGUUCCGGGUCAUAUGUAUAAAAUAUGAGGAAUUGUAACAUGAUGUUAGAUUGCUUCUUGCCAAUCUCCAUGAGAUAUCUCUGUGUAUUGUAAUGGUCAAUUAAACGCUUUUUAUUGAACCUGGUAAUAUUUUUGUCUACUUCCACAGUUGGGGGCUCGUCCGGGAUCAGAAUACCACAGACACCAGCGGAACACCUGCACCUGCCAACCAUUUCGUGGGCACUCAAACAGACCGGUCAUAUAAAAGGUAAGCCA
Pelobates cultripes (western spadefoot toad) is the source of this 675-nucleotide non-coding RNA. NCBI's taxonomy places the organism in Eukaryota, Metazoa, Chordata, Amphibia, Anura, Pelobatidae. The record is from the annotation of a GenBank genome assembly.